Molecule: ribosomal RNA, 251 nt
Filed under: uncultured prokaryote
Description: partial 16S rRNA
Rfam family: Bacterial small subunit ribosomal RNA
Source: RNAcentral
ACGGAGGGUGCGAGCGUUAAUCGGAAUCACUGGGCGUAAAGCGCACGUAGGCGGUGUCGUAAGUCGGAUGUGAAAGCCCUCGGCUCAACCGGGGAACUGCAUUCGAUACUGCGAUGCUUGAGUGCCGGAGAGGGGGGCGGAAUUCCAGGUGUAGGGGUGAAAUGCGUAGAUAUCGGGAAGAACACCGGUGGCGAAGGCGGCCAACUGGACUGUAACUGACGCUGAUGUGCGAAAGCGUGGGGAUCAAACAG